This is a non-coding RNA of Cicer arietinum (chickpea), 916 nucleotides long. The record is from RefSeq and is a predicted model, not a curated record. NCBI's taxonomy places the organism in Eukaryota, Viridiplantae, Streptophyta, Magnoliopsida, Fabales, Fabaceae.
GUAUUGACAAUCAAAAUAAAGCCAAACAUGCCACUACAAAAUUUAUUUAGUUUAUUUUUUUUAUUUUUAUAUGAUCUAUGGUGUUAGCAGAAACAUUAGAAAAUGUAUUGGUUACGAGGAACUAGAGGAAAAUUCUGAAUUUAACAUAUCUGAAACUACUUGCUCCUAUUGCUUAAAGAACGGUUGUAAUAAAAGAACUUUCCUAUGUUAAAAAUAUGGAAAGAAAACACACGUUUCAAAACUAGGAAAUCAAUACCCAAUCAAAUGUGGGUACCUCAUAACAAAAUAAUCUAUCUUGCAGAUAUCCUUAAAAAUAAAGUUGAAACACCAGUCAUGGUACAUGGGCAAUAGAUUAUCACGAUACAUGAUAGGAGAAAAGUCUAUGUUCAAAAACCUAACCCUCAAGGAAGGAAGAUUAUGAGAAAAUUAGAAGGGUAAAAUCACAGGUUGUGGCACAAUAGUGUUGAAUUUUGGUGAGAAAUCAACAUGACCUAUGUGGAGAAUGUCAGCCAUAUUUGGAGUUGUAUAUGUCCAAUUGGAGUCAAACCAAGUUCACAUAAAAGCUAAGAUCCAUGGAUACAAUUUUCAUGAAGACACCAGAGCCAAAUUCAGCAUACGUCAUACAUAAGAGGCUUUGCGCCUGGGGCGCAUUUGUGCACCGCUAACUCUGUCAAAUAGCGCUUGAAGCGCAAAUCCCGCACCUGGGGUGCUUAUCACGUGAGUGAGUGUAUAAAAACGUGUUUUUAUUACUUUUUAGGUAUCUUUUUUACUAUUGGGAAGUUUGGAGACUUGUGCCAUAGUAGAGAAACUCAUAGAUGAUUGUUUCUAACACCGUUGAAGUAGUUUUAUCAUGAACCAUUCAUGAAUCCUUCUUGUAAUUCUUCUCUAAUCUCUAUUUAAAACAAAAUUUAUAUAA